RNAcentral lists this ribosomal RNA (490 nucleotides) under uncultured bacterium. RNAcentral describes it as "partial 16S ribosomal RNA". It matches the Rfam family "Bacterial small subunit ribosomal RNA", at positions 28 to 507 of the family's 1533-position model. The record is from RNAcentral.
GAUGAACGCUAGCGAUAGGCUUAACACAUGCAAGUCGAGGGGCAGCAUGGUCUUAGCUUGCUAAGACUGAUGGCGACCGGCGCACGGGUGCGUAACGCGUAUGCAACUUGCCUCACAGAGGGGGAUAACCCGUCGAAAGACGGACUAAUACCGCGUACACUCUAUUUUGGGCAUCCAAGGUAGAGGAAAUGAAAUUCGCUGUGAGAUAGGCAUGCGUCCCAUUAGCUAGUUGGUGAGGUAACGGCUCACCAAGGCGACGAUGGGUAGGGGAACUGAGAGGUUGAACCCCCACACUGGUACUGAGACACGGACCAGACUCCUACGGGAGGCAGCAGUGAGGAAUAUUGGUCAAUGGGCGAGAGCCUGAACCAGCCAAGUCGCGUGAAGGAUGACUGUCUUAUGGAUUGUAAACUUCUUUUGUAGGGGAAUAAAGAGGGGAAAGUGUGCCCCAGUGAAUGUACCCUACGAAUAAGCAUCGGCUAACUCCGUG